Non-coding RNA from Acanthosepion pharaonis, 104 nucleotides. NCBI's taxonomy places the organism in Eukaryota, Metazoa, Mollusca, Cephalopoda, Sepiida, Sepiidae. The record is from the annotation of a GenBank genome assembly.
AUACGGCCACAUCACGUUGAAACGCAUGUUCCCAUACGAUCGCCGAAGUUAAGCAACAUCGAGCCUGGUUAGUACCUAGAUGGGUUAUGGUAUUCCAGAUGCUG